RNAcentral lists this long non-coding RNA (328 nucleotides) under Phaseolus vulgaris (common bean). Its description in RNAcentral is "long non-coding RNA (PVUL_LNC002460)". Lineage: Eukaryota; Viridiplantae; Streptophyta; Magnoliopsida; Fabales; Fabaceae. The record is from RNAcentral.
UAUAACAUACCCAGGUCACCACAAGACAUUAAAUAAAGGAUCAAACAACUGUACUUACAAAGCAUAAAGAGAGAUAAUUUAAGUCUUAAACAUUAUAGAAAUAAUGAAACAUUAAGAAGUCCAAAGGUAAGUCACCAAACGAUUAUAAUUCCUUGACGAGUUUGCCAUCCACCAUGGCAUUGUAAGGAUUCACCUCAGAGAAAUCUAUUCCGGGGUGAAUGAUGCAUGCCUGUUCAAGGGCCAACUCAAUGCUGACCGCAUACAAACCAACUAUGUCAUUCUUCAUGACCUCGACACUAUUCGCCGGCUCCGCCUCCUUCUGACCAAU